AAUAGAUACCCCGGUAGUCCACGCCGUAAACGAUGAAUGCUAGGUGUUAGGGGUUUCGAUACCCUUGGUGCCGAAGUUAACACAUUAAGCAUUCCGCCUGGGGAGUACGGCCGCAAGGCUGAAACUCAAAGGAAUUGACGGGGACCCGCACAAGCAGUGGAGUAUGUGGUUUAAUUCGAAGCAACGCGAAGAACCUUACCAGGUCUUGACAUCCCCCCUGACCGGUACAGAGAUGUACCUUUCCUUCGGGACAGGGGAGACAGGUGGUGCAUGGUUGUCGUCAGCUCGUGUCGUGAGAUGUUGGGUUAAGUCCCGCAACGAGCGCAACCCUUGACUUUAGUUGCCAGCAGGUAAGGCUGGGCACUCUAGAGUGACUGCCGGUGACAAACCGGAGGAAGGUGGGGAUGACGUCAAAUCAUCACGCCCCUUAUGACCUGGGCUACACACGUACUACAAUGGCCGGUACAACGGGAAGCGAAGGAGCGAUCUGGAGCGAAUCCUAUAAAGCCGGUCUCAGUUCGGAUUGCAGGCUGCAACUCGCCUGC
RNAcentral lists this ribosomal RNA (545 nucleotides) under uncultured bacterium. Its description in RNAcentral is "bacterial SSU rRNA". It matches the Rfam family "Bacterial small subunit ribosomal RNA", at positions 777 to 1319 of the family's 1533-position model. The record is from RNAcentral.